CCUACGGGAGGCAGCAGUGAGGAAUAUUGGUCAAUGGGCGGGAGCCUGAACCAGCCAAGCCGCGUGAGGGAAGAAGGUACAGCGUAUCGUAAACCUCUUUUGUCAGGGAACAAAGGCGGGGACUAGUCCCCGGAUGAGGGUACCUGAAGAAAAAGCAUCGGCUAACUCCGUGCCAGCAGCCGCGGUAAUACGGAGGAUGCGAGCGUUAUCCGGAUUUAUGGGGGUUAAAGGGUGCGCAGGCGGCCUGUUAAGUCAGCGGUAAAAGCCCGGGGCUCAACCCCGGCGAGCGGUUGAAACUGGCGGGCUGGAGUUGGAGAGAAGUACGCGGAAUGCGCGGUGUAGCGGUGAAAUGCUUAGAUAUCGCGCAGAACCCCGAUUGCGAAGGCAGCGUACCGGCUCCACACUGACGCUGAGGCACGAAAGCGUGGGUAUCGAACAGGAUUAGAUACCCCUGUAGUC
This 459-nucleotide ribosomal RNA is filed under the name uncultured bacterium. RNAcentral describes it as "partial 16S ribosomal RNA". It matches the Rfam family "Bacterial small subunit ribosomal RNA", at positions 338 to 795 of the family's 1533-position model. The record is from RNAcentral.